RNAcentral lists this ribosomal RNA (429 nucleotides) under Actinomycetes bacterium. RNAcentral describes it as "Actinobacteria bacterium partial 16S ribosomal RNA". It matches the Rfam family "Bacterial small subunit ribosomal RNA", at positions 355 to 776 of the family's 1533-position model. Lineage: Bacteria; Bacillati; Actinomycetota; Actinomycetes. The record is from RNAcentral.
UAGGGAAUCUUCCGCAAUGGGCGAAAGCCUGACGGAGCAACGCCGCGUGAGUGAUGAAGGUCUUCGGAUCGUAAAACUCUGUUAUUAGGGAAGAACAAAUGUGUAAGUAACUAUGCACGUCUUGACGGUACCUAAUCAGAAAGCCACGGCUAACUACGUGCCAGCAGCCGCGGUAAUACGUAGGUGGCAAGCGUUAUCCGGAAUUAUUUGGCGUAAAGCGCGCGUAGGCGGUUUUUUAAGUCUGAUGUGAAAGCCCACGGCUCAACCGUGGAGGGUCAUUCGAAACUGGAAAACUUGAGUGCAGAAGAGGAAAGUGGAAUUCCAUGUGUAGCGGUGAAAUGCGCAGAGAUAUGGAGGAACACCAGUGGCGAAGGCGACUUUCUGGUCUGUAACUGACGCUGAUGUGCGAAAGCGUGGGGAUCAAACAGG